RNAcentral lists this ribosomal RNA (305 nucleotides) under uncultured bacterium. RNAcentral's name for it is "bacterial SSU rRNA". It matches the Rfam family "Bacterial small subunit ribosomal RNA", at positions 334 to 640 of the family's 1533-position model. The record is from RNAcentral.
GACCUACGGGAGGCAGCAGUGAGGAAUAUUGGUCAGUGGGCGAGAGCCUGAACCAGCCAAGUCGCGUGAGGGAGUACUGCCCUAUGGGUUGUAAACCUCUUUUGUCGGGGAGCAAAAGCCGGACGUGUCCGGCUGUGAGAGUACCCGAAGAAAAAGCAUCGGCUAACUCCGUGCCAGCAGCCGCGGUAAUACGGAGGAUGCGAGCGUUAUCCGGAUUUAUUGGGUUUAAAGGGUGCGCAGGCGGAUUUUUAAGUCAGCGGUCAAAGCCCGGGGCUCAACCCCGGCCCGCCGUUGAAACUGGCAGU